GAUGAACGCUGGCGGCGUGCCUAAUACAUGCAAGUCGAGCGAACGGACGAGAAGCUUGCUUCUCUGAUGUUAGCGGCGGACGGGUGAGUAACACGUGGAUAACCUACCUAUAAGACUGGGAUAACUUCGGGAAACCGGAGCUAAUACCGGAUAAUAUUUUGAACCGCAUGGUUCAAAAGUGAAAGACGGUCUUGCUGUCACUUAUAGAUGGAUCCGCGCUGCAUUAGCUAGUUGGUAAGGUAACGGCUUACCAAGGCAACGAUGCAUAGCCGACCUGAGAGGGGGCUCGGCCACUCUGAAAGUGGGACACGGCCCAACCCCCUACGGGAGGCGGCAGUAGGGAUCCUUCCGCAAGGGGCGAAACCCUGAGGGGGCAACGCCGCGGGGGUAAUAAAGUUCUUCGGUUCGUAAAAUCCUUUUAUUAGGGAAAAAAAUAUUUGUAAGUAAAUGGGCACCUUUGGGCGGUCCCAAAUCAGAAAGCCCCGGCAAACUACGU
RNAcentral lists this ribosomal RNA (496 nucleotides) under uncultured bacterium. RNAcentral's name for it is "partial 16S ribosomal RNA". It matches the Rfam family "Bacterial small subunit ribosomal RNA", at positions 28 to 506 of the family's 1533-position model. The record is from RNAcentral.